CUUUUCGAGGUCGGCCGCGUGGCUGGAAGACAUGGCCACUCCAGUCGGUGUUGAGCACGGCGAGCAGUCUCAGGCCUUUAGUGAUGAUGAUUAAAGGUGGUGGCUGUGGCCUUGAAAACAGUCAUGUGAAAACUCAUCACCUUAAGGUGUUAAGUGUAAGGAUCUUCAUGAUGAAAUUUCUGUGCAGUCAGCCUCAGUUUCCAAAGCCGGAAAAGGAUCCUCUAGUAGCCACGGUGUGGCAGCUGCUCUGAACCAGGACCUGGACCCGGACCCAAAGUGCCAUGUCUUUAAUGUGAGUUAGCUCCCAGCGAUGCCAGAUGGGAUCAGCACAGCCCUGCCUCUGCUGCUAAUUGUUCCUCUAAAGUAAUCGCCAUGCGUUCUUUGGGCUUCAUCUUUAAAGGAAUGAAGCAACUGAGAUUAUUCUGGAAAACCUUUUGGCAGUUAGUGAAAUUAGAGUACAACUAAGAACAUUUUCAGACCU
This 481-nucleotide long non-coding RNA is filed under the name Homo sapiens (human). Lineage: Eukaryota; Metazoa; Chordata; Mammalia; Primates; Hominidae. The record is from RNAcentral.